GCGGAGCAGCCAGUAGCGGCCCCCGAUAGUGUUCGGGUUGCAAGGGUCCGCCCGCCCUACAGCUGUGAUAAGGUAAACAGCGGGCCGCGUCAUCUUCGGGAGAGGAGGGAUUGAGCCCCAUCCCGCCUCCUCUGAGGCGUGUUGCUGCGGUAGGUGUAGGGUGCAGUCCGUGCCCGGCGAGCCCCUGCCCGGCAGUGCCAGAGGACGGGCCUGCCCUGAUCCUUCCGUACCCCGUGAUUCAUGGGAGCGGCGCUCCCCAGAGGAGCAAGGAGGGCCAUACGCUCUCUCCUGAAAGCACCAAACACUUCCUGGAAUACCCACCGCGACAUGGAAACAAGGCUCGCUUCGCUCCAGGAGCAGAUCUGUUCCCCCGCUACUAGGUUCCUUUCGCCAACCCAGCGAGAGGCGCUUGGUGGUGUUAAGCUGAGCGCAUUGACGUGUCCGUUUGUUACGACGUUAGACCGACCCACUAAGACUGCCUACUCAGCGCUGACAGGAGAGGAGCUAAACUAAUGGUUGUAUCUUCAGAGGCACCGAGACGCUGGGCUUCCCCCAUUUAAGCCCCAAGUCUGCAAAGCGAUUCACAGGGGAGCGCCCUUUGGCUUUUUUCUUUUGUGUCCCACUGAAGUCGAUAGAAGUUCCUGGGGUCGCCUGCAUCUGCCGUCCUAGCUCCGACAGCAGGGCCCCAUUUGCUUUGUCAGCACCUCGCCUCCUCGGGAAGUUUUGACUAAACUUAUCCAAAGGCUGUGCUAAAACCAUGCUGGACUGAUACGCAGUGAGCUCGGCCGUAGGGCAGGGCUUUAAAAAUGAAUCCAAUUCUGAUUUCAGCUUUCCUAUUUUCACUUUCAGAGCUUUCCCCCAUUUUGAUGCAAGACUGUUACCGGGCUUCUUUGCAAACAGCUUGAUAUUAGAAAUCUGCAUCUUGUGUUAUAUGGGGUAUUUCCAGGCUGCACAGUUUUCUGCCUUCACUGUGUAUUUCCCAGCACAGACAGAUUGCAAAGGGCACCUGCUUGCUUUGUCUUCAGAGACUGAUAACAGAGUGAUUGUCAACAAUUGCACUCAAGCCUGUCCCUUGCCACAGAUUUCCCCCAUUUAUAGCUGCAAGAGGAACAUGGCAUAAACACAGUAAUGUACAGAAACAAACGAGUUCAGAAUGUGGCCAUCUGUCUAGAUUUUGUCAAUUCUUAGCUAAUUUUAAACAACUUUCUUUUGUAAGAUAUCCUAGUUAACAAAAGUAAAGAACAAGAUGUGUAUCAGGUUAUUUGUAUGCAUUUUAGUCCCGUACUCCCAUCUUUAAUUUAAAAAUUAAUCUUACCUGUAUUUGCUUUUGAAAAUUUGCAUUUUCUAAAAUUAUAAACAUUCAGUAUUUUAAUAUCACAAAUGUUUUAGUCACUGGAUGAAGCUUAUCACUUGCUCACAAUAUUAUACACCUCUACUCCAAUAUAACGCGACCCAAUAUAACAUGAGUUCAGAUAUAACGCUGUAAAGCAGCGCUCUGGGUGGGUGGGUGGGGGGGAGGUGUUGACGCUCCAGGGGAUCAAAGCAAGUUCGAUAUAACGCGGUUUCACCUAUAACGUGGUAAGAUUUUUUUGGCUCCCGAGGAGAGCGUUAUAUCGGGGUAGAGGUGUACAUUUUCUAUCAAACACUGCAUCAAGGUAACAAAUUCCAUUUUAAACAUUUCAAUUAAAAGAAAAGUACUAUGGCAGAGUUUAGAGUACAUUUGGAUCUCGAAAUAAAUUUAAUUACUACAAAUGUGUGUUUUUCAGUUUUUCCUGGACUUGUUAUCCAGUUUACAGAUAGACAUAUCUGGUCCCAUUUACAGUCCUCAUUUGCAAGAUUAUUUUUUUCAAGAGUGUGUUUGUACAAGCAAAAUUUUAUUUGCUCCAUGUCCUUUAUAUGUAAAGUAGAAAUUUCAGCAUUUAAACUUAAUGAAGUUAAAUGCUCUGCUUGAAAGAUGAAAGGCACAUAUCCAAUACUAUUACACUGAACUGAAAAAAAAAAAGAUUUGUAAUUCCCAGUCAUCUUCUAUAUCAAAACAAUGCUAAAAAACUUGCUUCACUGUAGCUUCCUUCCCCAAUCUAAUACUUUUAAAUAGUACUGCCAAAGUGUUUAAUGGAUAACUACUUUUAAACUAUGGAUGUGUUAUUAGUUUACUAAAUUAAGUUUCAUGUCUUGUAUGAGAAUACAACUUUUAUUAAUUCUUUAAACAUGCUCAGAAUCCUAAAUAUUGUACUUUCAUCCAAUUAAAAAAACUUUUAUUAUUGUAAAAUUAGGAGAGAUUACAGAAGAUCUAAACUGCCAUCUUCUGUAAUGUAGUCUGUGUAACUCUAACAUGUUGUAAAAAGAAAGGUAUGUUUGUAGCCAUGUGCUGAUUACACUUUAAAAAAAGGACUGUCCACGUAUCUGAAACAUUGGUUGUCUUAAUUCUACAGCAGAAUAUAAGGUGCUUUAAACAAUACA
Molecule: non-coding RNA, 2460 nt
Organism: Chrysemys picta bellii (western painted turtle)
Lineage: Eukaryota; Metazoa; Chordata; Testudines; Emydidae
Source: RefSeq, a predicted model, not a curated record